GUUCGUUAUGGCUCAGAUUGAACGCUGGCGGGAUAUUACGCAGCAGAGUCGAACGGCAGCACGGACUUCAGUCUGGUGGCGAGUGGCGAACAGGUGAGUAAUGUAUCGGAACGUGCCUAGUAGCGGGGGAUAACUACGCAGCGUAGCUAAUACCACAUACGCCCUUCGGGGAAAGCGGGGACCUUCGGGCCUCGCACUAUUGAAACGGCCGAUAUCAGUUAAGCUAGUUGGUGGGGUAACGGCUCACCUGGGCGGCGUCGUAGCUGGUUUGAAGGACGACAGCACACUGGGACCGGGAACACGGCCCGGAGCUCCUGCAGGAGGCAGCGGUGGAAAUUUUUUAAGACCAUGGGAACAAUUGUAUGCAGUGUGCGUAAAAGGCUGGUUGCAGCCUUUGCAGAAAGAAGCGGCACGGGUAUCUGGCAACUGGCAGCCUGCUGACCGCUUGGCUAACGUUGCCAUGAAGCCUGGUAUACGUAAGUGCAGCAGCAAUCAGAUUACUGGGCAAAGGGUGCAGGUGUUCGGAAAGAAAGAUGUGAAAUCGAAACGCUGGAACUGCAUUUUUAACUACCGAGCUAGAGUGUGUCAGAGGUGGAAUUCCGCGAUGUAGCAGUGGAAAUGCGUAGAUAUGCGGAGGAACGCAAAUGGCGAAGGCAGCCUCCUGGGAUAACACUGACGCUCAUGCACAGCAGUGGGAGCAAACAGGAUUAGAUACCCUGGUGAUCCACGCCCUAAGCGAUGUCAACCUUGUUGGGGCCUUCGGCCUUGGUAGCGCAAUAACGCUGGUAAAGUUGAUAUGGGAGGUACAGUCAAUUAAAAACUUUCAAAGGGAAUUGACGGGGAUUACUGGCAGUGGAUGAUGUGGAUUAAUUCGAUGCAACGCGAAAAACCUUACCUACCCUUGACAUGUCUGGAAUCCCGAAGAGAUUUAAGUGCUCCGCAAGAGAACCCGGAACAAGGUGCUGCAUGGCUGUCGUCCAGCUCGUGUCGUGAGAGAUGUUGCGUUGCAGUGCGGCAAACGCAACCCUUGUCAUUAGUUGCUGAAAGGGCACUCCUAGCGAGACUCUUGAGUGAUGACAAAACCGGAGGAAGGUGAGAUGACGUCAAGUCCUCUGGCCCUUAUGGGUAGGGCUUCCACGUCGCCUGUGGUCGGGACGGAAGAGUGCUUCAACCCGCGAGGGCCAAUCCGAAAUUCGAUCUAGUCCGGAUCGCGGUCCGCUCGACUGCGUGAAGUCGGAAUCACUUCAAUCGCGGAUCGGCAUGUCGCGGUGAAUACGUUCCCGGGUCUUCAUGCACCGCCCACGUCCUACCGCUGGGAGUGGGGUUUUACCAAGUAGUUAGCCUAACCGUCUGGGGAGGGCGAUUACCACGGUAGGUUCAUGACUGGGGUGAAGUCGUAACAAGGUAG
This 1408-nucleotide ribosomal RNA is filed under the name uncultured Bordetella sp. Its description in RNAcentral is "partial 16S-23S ribosomal RNA intergenic spacer". It matches the Rfam family "Bacterial small subunit ribosomal RNA". The record is from RNAcentral. Lineage: Bacteria; Pseudomonadati; Pseudomonadota; Betaproteobacteria; Burkholderiales; Alcaligenaceae.